RNAcentral lists this ribosomal RNA (610 nucleotides) under Rhodotorula glutinis. Its description in RNAcentral is "eukaryotic LSU rRNA". The stretch from base 176 to 329 matches the Rfam family "5.8S ribosomal RNA". RNAcentral also lists the same sequence under 1 other name. The record is from RNAcentral. Lineage: Eukaryota; Fungi; Basidiomycota; Microbotryomycetes; Sporidiobolales; Sporidiobolaceae.
GUAGGUGAACCUGCGGAAGGAUCAUUAGUGAAUAUAGGAUGUCCAACUUAACUUGGAGUCCGAACUCUCACUUUCUAACCCUGUGCAUUUGUUUGGGAUAGUAGCCUCUCGGGGUGAACUCCUAUUCACUUAUAAACACAAAGUCUAUGAAUGUAUUUAAUUUAUAACAAAAUAAAACUUUCAACAACGGAUCUCUUGGCUCUCGCAUCGAUGAAGAACGCAGCGAAAUGCGAUAAGUAAUGUGAAUUGCAGAAUUCAGUGAAUCAUCGAAUCUUUGAACGCACCUUGCGCUCCAUGGUAUUCCGUGGAGCAUGCCUGUUUGAGUGUCAUGAAUACUUCAACCCUCCUCUUUUCUAGUGAAAGAGAAGGUGCUUGGUUUCUGAGCGUUUUGCUGGCCUCACGGUCGAGCUCGCUCGUAAUGCAUUAGCAUCCGCAAUCGAACUUCGGAUUGACUUGGCGUAAUAGACUAUUCGCUGAGGAAUUCUAAUCUUCGGAUUAGAGCCGGGUUAGGUUAAAGGAAGCUUCUAAUCCUAAUGUCUAUAUUUUAAGAUUAGAUCUCAAAUCAGGUAGGACUACCCGCUGAACUUAAGCAUAUCAAUAGCCCGGAGGA